GAGUAACGCGUAGGUAACCUGCCUUGUAGCGGGGGAUAACUAUUGGAAACGAUAGCUAAUACCGCAUAACAGUUGAUAACUCAUGUUAUUAGCUUGAAAGAUGCAACAGCAUCACUACGAGAUGGACCUGCGUUGUAUUAGCUAGUUGGUGAGGUAAAGGCUCACCAAGGCCACGAUACAUAGCCGACCUGAGAGGGUGAUCGGCCACAUUGGGACUGAGACACGGCCCAAACUCCUACGGGAGGCAGCAGUAGGGAAUCUUCGGCAAUGGGGGCAACCCUGACCGAGCAACGCCGCGUGAGUGAAGAAGGUUUUCGGAUCGUAAAGCUCUGUUGUAAGAGAAGAACGUUGAUGAGAGUGGAAAAUUCAUCAAGUGACGGUAUCUUACCAGAAAGGGACGGCUAACUACGUGCCAGCAGCCGCGGUAAUACGUAGGUCCCGAGCGUUGUCCGGAUUUAUUGGGCGUAAAGCGAGCGCAGGCGGUUUCGUA
Molecule: ribosomal RNA, 490 nt
Filed under: Streptococcus caballi
Lineage: Bacteria; Bacillati; Bacillota; Bacilli; Lactobacillales; Streptococcaceae
Description: bacterial SSU rRNA
Rfam family: Bacterial small subunit ribosomal RNA
Source: RNAcentral